This 485-nucleotide ribosomal RNA is filed under the name Bacteroidales bacterium. Its description in RNAcentral is "partial 23S ribosomal RNA". It matches the Rfam family "Bacterial large subunit ribosomal RNA", at positions 1 to 497 of the family's 2925-position model. The record is from RNAcentral. Lineage: Bacteria; Pseudomonadati; Bacteroidota; Bacteroidia; Bacteroidales.
AGGAAAGAAGAUAAGAGCGAACGGCGGAUGCCUAGGCUAUCCGGAGGCGAGGAAGGACGUGGUAAGCUGCGAAAAGGCUCGGGGAACUGCAAACAGGUUUUGAUCCGAGCAUAUCCGAAUGGGGGAACCCAGUGGGUUGAAGACCCACUACCAUCACAGAUGGAGCGAACCCGGGGAACUGAAACAUCUUAGUACCCGGAGGAAGAGAAAGAAAACAUCGAUACCCUGAGUAGUGGCGAGCGAAAGGGGCAGAGCCUAAACCGGUGUGUUUACGGACAUGCCGGGGUUGUAGGACCUCUCAUCAAGCGAGAUCAACGAACCAGAACGCUGUGGAAACAGCGACCGCAGAGGGUGACAGUCCCGUACGGGUAAGUUUGUUUGAGCGCGAGAGGCACCUGAGUAGGGCGGGGCACGUGGAAUCCUGUCCGAAUCUGCGGGGACCAUCCCGCAAGGCUAAACACUCCCGGAAGACCGAUAGUGGACCA